Molecule: ribosomal RNA, 1340 nt
Filed under: uncultured delta proteobacterium
Lineage: Bacteria; Deltaproteobacteria
Description: bacterial SSU rRNA
Rfam family: Bacterial small subunit ribosomal RNA
Source: RNAcentral
AUACNCNGGGNUACCAUGCAGUCGUACGANAACGCUUCAGCUUGCUGAAGCUAGUAAAGGCGCACGGGUGAGUAACGCGUGGGUAAUCUACCUUCGAAUUGGGGAUAACGUUGCGAAAGUGACGCUAAUACCGAAUGAUAUCAUAGGGACUUUGGUCCUUUUGAUCAAAGAUGGCCUCUCCUUGGAAGCUAUUGUUUGAAGAUGAGCCCGCGUCCCAUUAGCUUGUUGGUGGGGUAAUGGCCUACCAAGGCAGCGAUGGGUAGCUGGUCUGAGAGGAUGAUCAGCCACACUGGAACUGACACACGGUCCAGACUCCUACGGGAGGCAGCAGUGAGGAAUUUUGCGCAAUGGGGGAAACCCUGACGCAGCAACGCCGCGUGAGUGAUGAAGGCUUUCGGGUCGUAAAGCUCUGUCAAGUGGGAAGAACUCCCGUGAGGUUAAUACCCUCAUGGUUUGACGGUACCACUGAACGGAAGCACCGGCUAACUCCGUGCCAGCAGCCGCGGUAAUACGGGGGGUGCAAGCGUUAUUCGGAUUUACUGGGCCGUAAAGCGCGCGUAGGCGGCCGUUUAAGUCAGAUGUGAAAGCCCGGGGCUCAACCCGGAAGUGCAUUUGAUACUAUUCGGCUUGAGUAUGGGAGAGGGGAAAUGAAAUUCCUGGUGUAGAGUGAAAUUCGUAGAUAUCAGGAGGAACACCGGUGGCGAAAGCGACUUCCUGGACCAAUACUGACGCUGAGGCGCGAAGGCGUGGGGAGCAAACAGGAUUAGAUACCCUGGUAGUCCACGCAGUAAACGGUGAUCACUAGGUGUAGCGGGUAUUGACCCCUGCUGUGCCGCAGCUAACGCAUUAAGUGAUCCGCCUGGGGAGUACGCCGCAAGGUUAAAACUCAAAGGAAUUGACGGGGGCCCGCACAAGCGGUGGAGCAUGUGGUUUAAUUCGACGCAACGCGAAGAACCUUACCUGGAUUUGACAUCUCGGGAAUUCCUAUGAAAGUAGGAAGUGCCCUUCGGGGAGCCCGAUGACAGGUGCUGCAUGGCUGUCGUCAGCUCCUUUCUGAAAAAUUUUGGUUAAAUUCCCGCAACGAGCGCAACCCCUAUCUUUAGUUACCAGCACCUCGGGUGGGGACUCUAAAGAUACUGCCCCGGUCAACGGGGAGGAAGGUGGGGAUGACGUCAAGUCCUCAUGGCCUUUAUGUCCAGGGCUACACACGUGCUACAAUGGGCAGUACAGAGGGUCGCGACACUGCGAGGUGGAGCUAAUCCCUUAAAGCUGUUCUAAGUUCGGAUUGGAGUCUGCAACUCGACUCCAUGAAGCUGGAAUCGCUAUAAUCGCGAUCACAC